CAGACCGCGUGAGUUCGCUGCCGCCAUGUUCCAGUCCAGUAAAUUGCCUGCCCGGUUUGUGACCGCGAAGAUGAGCAUCUCCACAAGGCUGCGUCCUCGGGCUCGGGCUCCGUAUGGCCAACGGAAGGGCUUGGUCUCCCGGAUUCCCGGAUAGAAGCCAACAUUUGUGAUAAAGUUCCUUUCCGGACCCAUUUGGAAGGAUGCGAAAGAGCUGCAGAUGCCGUACCAGGAAGCGGUGCCAGUGAGAAGCAAGAUUCGGAUGCA
Molecule: long non-coding RNA, 264 nt
Organism: Culex quinquefasciatus (southern house mosquito)
Lineage: Eukaryota; Metazoa; Arthropoda; Insecta; Diptera; Culicidae
Exons: 2
Source: RefSeq, a predicted model, not a curated record